This 670-nucleotide ribosomal RNA is filed under the name alpha proteobacterium IMCC14401. RNAcentral describes it as "bacterial SSU rRNA". It matches the Rfam family "Bacterial small subunit ribosomal RNA", at positions 28 to 743 of the family's 1533-position model. RNAcentral also lists the same sequence under 2 other names. Lineage: Bacteria; Pseudomonadati; Pseudomonadota; Alphaproteobacteria. The record is from RNAcentral.
AACGUACGCUGGCGGCACGCCUAACACAUGCAAGUCGAACGAAGUAGCAAUACUUAGUGGCAGACGGGUGAGUAACAUGUGGGUAUCUACCCUUUGGCCUGGAAUAACACGAGGAAACUUGUGCUAAUACCGGAUAAGUCUUUACGGAGAAAGCUUUAUGCACCAUUGGAUGAGCCCGCACUUGAUUAGUUUGUUGGUAGGGUAAUGGCCUACCAAGACUAUGAUCAAUAGCUGAUUUGAGAGGAUGAUCAGCCACAUUGGGACUGAGACACGGCCCAAACUCCUACGGGAGGCAGCAGUGGGGAAUCUUGCACAAUGGAGGAAACUCUGAUGCAGCGAUGCCGCGUGAGUGAAGAAGGCCUUUGGGUUGUAAAGCUCUUUCGUCGGGGAAGAAAAUGACUGUACCCGAAUAAGAAGGUCCGGCUAACUUCGUGCCAGCAGCCGCGGUAAUACGAAGGGACCUAGCGUAGUUCGGAAUUACUGGGCUUAAAGAGUUCGUAGGUGGUUGAAAAAGUUGGUGGUGAAAUCCCAGAGCUUAACUCUGGAACUGCCAUCAAAACUUUUCAGCUAGAGUAUGAUAGAGGAAAGCAGAAUUUCUAGUGUAGAGGUGAAAUUCGUAGAUAUUAGAAAGAAUACCAAUUGCGAAGGCAGCUUUCUGGAUCAUUACUGA